This is a long non-coding RNA of Microtus oregoni (creeping vole), 453 nucleotides long. RefSeq lists it as uncharacterized. NCBI's taxonomy places the organism in Eukaryota, Metazoa, Chordata, Mammalia, Rodentia, Cricetidae. The record is from RefSeq and is a predicted model, not a curated record. The transcript has 3 exons.
CCAGCUAGGGCUGGCUUCGGCUUUCGUGCUGACCUAGGCAAACCGUGCCAACUUUCACUGGGACUGCUGCGGCUGCACCCCAUUCAGCUAACCCAGCCUUCCGAGCCUGGGGGUGCGACCGCAUAGUCUCAAAGUGACUAGUGCCCGCUCUAGUUUCAAGACAUUCACUGCUUCUAAGGAACUUGCAGAAUAGCAUUUGGAAGAAACUGUGGGACACACAGCUGUGAUGUAAACCACAUCUCAUCUGAUGUCAAGCGCAACACUGACCAGCCAGCGGCUUCUUGAGUUUACAGACCUUCACGCGGUCAACAAGACAAAAUGAUAGCUACAGAAUCGGAAAAGAUCAUCACUAACCCCACAUCAGACAGAGGUCUGAUCUCCAAAAUAUACAAAGAACUCAAGAAAUUGGACACCAAAAGAACACAUAAUCCAAUUUAAAAAACGGAGUGCAGA